AUUGAACGCUGGCGGCAGGCCUAACACAUGCAAGUCGAGCGGAUGAAGGGAGCUUGCUCCUGGAUUCAGCGGCGGACGGGUGAGUAAUGCCUAGGAAUCUGCCUGGUAGUGGGGGAUAACGUCCGGAAACGGGCGCUAAUACCGCAUACGUCCUGAGGGAGAAAGUGGGGGAUCUUCGGACCUCACGCUAUCAGAUGAGCCUAGGUCGGAUUAGCUAGUUGGUGGGGUAAAGGCCUACCAAGGCGACGAUCCGUAACUGGUCUGAGAGGAUGAUCAGUCACACUGGAACUGAGACACGGUCCAGACUCCUACGGGAGGCAGCAGUGGGGAAUAUCGGACAAUGGGCGAAAGCCUGAUCCAGCCAUGCCGCGUGUGUGAAGAAGGUCUUCGGAUUGUAAAGCACUUUAAGUUGGGAGGAAGUGCAGUAAGUUAAUACCUUGCUGUUUUGACGUUACCAACAGAAUAAGCACCGGCUAACUUCGU
RNAcentral lists this ribosomal RNA (483 nucleotides) under uncultured bacterium. RNAcentral describes it as "partial 16S ribosomal RNA". It matches the Rfam family "Bacterial small subunit ribosomal RNA", at positions 30 to 506 of the family's 1533-position model. The record is from RNAcentral.